Molecule: ribosomal RNA, 492 nt
Filed under: uncultured bacterium
Lineage: Bacteria
Description: partial 16S ribosomal RNA
Rfam family: Bacterial small subunit ribosomal RNA
Source: RNAcentral
AUUGAACGCUGGCGGCAUGCUUUACACAUGCAAGUCGAACGGUAACAGGCCUUCGGGUGCUGACGAGUGGCGCACGGGUGAGUAAUGCAUCGGAACGUACCCAGAGGUGGGGGAUAACGCAGCGAAAGCUGUGCUAAUACCGCAUGUGAUCUGAGGAUGAAAGCGGGGGACCGAGCAGCAAUGUUUGGCCUCGCGCCUUUGGAGCGGCCGAUGUCGGAGUAGCUAGUUGGUGGGGUAAAGGCCUACCAAGGCGACGAUCCGUAGCUGGUCUGAGAGGACGACCGGCCACACUGGGACUGGGACACGGCCCAGACUCCUACGGGAGGCAGCAGUGGGGAAUUUUGGACAAUGGGCGCAAGCCUGAUCCAGCAAUGCCGCGUGCGGGAAGGAGGCCUUCGGGUUGUAAACCGCUUUUGGCAGGAACGAAACGGUGUCCGCUAAUACCGGGCGCUAAUGACGGUACCUGCAGAAUAAGCACCGGCUAACUACGUG